UACGUAGGGGGCAAGCGUUAUCCGGAUUUACUGGGUGUAAAGGGAGCGUAGACGGCAGCGCAAGUCUGGAGUGAAAUCCCAUGGCUUAACCAUGGAACUGCUUUGGAAACUGUGCAGCUAGAGUGCAAGAGAGGUAAGCGGAAUUCCUAGUGUAGCGGUGAAAUGCGUAGAUAUUAGGAGGAACACCAGUGGCGAAGGCGGCUUACUGGACGGUAACUGACGUUGAGGCUCGAAAGCGUGGGGAGCAAACAGG
This 253-nucleotide ribosomal RNA is filed under the name uncultured bacterium. RNAcentral's name for it is "partial 16S ribosomal RNA". It matches the Rfam family "Bacterial small subunit ribosomal RNA", at positions 524 to 776 of the family's 1533-position model. The record is from RNAcentral.